Molecule: ribosomal RNA, 571 nt
Filed under: Hansenula anomala
Lineage: Eukaryota; Fungi; Ascomycota; Saccharomycetes; Phaffomycetales; Wickerhamomycetaceae
Description: eukaryotic LSU rRNA
Rfam family: Eukaryotic large subunit ribosomal RNA
Source: RNAcentral
GCCCUCAAGUAAACGGCGAGUGAGCGGCAAAAGCUCAAAAUUUGAAAUCUAGCACCUUCGGUGUUCGCAGUUGUAAUUUGAAGAUGGUAACCUUGGGUUUGGCUCUUGUCUAUGUUCCUUGGAACAGGACGUCAUAGAGGGUGAGAAUCCCGUCUGAUGAGAUGCCCAUUCCUAUGUAAGGUGCUAUCGAAGAGUCGAGUUGUUUGGGAAUGCAGCUCUAAGUGGGUGGUAAAUUCCAUCUAAAGCUAAAUAUUGGCGAGAGACCGAUAGCGAACAAGUACAGUGAUGGAAAGAUGAAAAGAACUUUGAAAAGAGAGUGAAAAAGUACGUGAAAUUGUUGAAAGGGAAGGGCAUUAGAUCAGACUUGGUGUUUUACGAUUAUCUUCUCUUCUUGAGUUGUGCACUCGUAUUUCACUGGGCCAGCAUCGAUUCGGAUGGCAAGAUAAUAGCAGUUGAAUGUGGCUUCACUUCGGUGGAGUGUUAUAGCUUCUGUUGAUAUUGCCUGUCUGGAUCGAGGGCUGCGUCUUUUGACUAGGAUGCUGGCGUAAUGAUCUAAUGCCGCCCGUCUUGA